AAUCCUCAUCAGCCUAAUAGUCAUUGUUUCUCUAGCAGUGGUUUAAACAGAAGUGCAGACAGCAAAUGGAUCUCAUUGCUUUUUAAGGGCUGUGAUUGUGCCCUUUAAAGUGAAUUUAGAGGUUCUAUAUCC
Molecule: small nucleolar RNA, 132 nt
Organism: Perognathus longimembris pacificus (Pacific pocket mouse)
Lineage: Eukaryota; Metazoa; Chordata; Mammalia; Rodentia; Heteromyidae
Product: small nucleolar RNA SNORA68
Exons: 1
Source: RefSeq, a predicted model, not a curated record